GCUGUGGGGGUGACGCAGAGGGGCUGGAAACCACCAGGAGCCAGAAGUUUGCACAAGCCCCUGCCCCGUCGUGGGCCGCUGGAGCUCCGUCAUCUCGCGGCGCUUCCUGCCCGUUCCCAGGCUCGGUGCUACAGUGCUUUCCUGCUUCCUUCCUCAGCCUGGGGCAGACAGGAAUUUAUAGCUGAGACCAGCCUCACUGAGUGCCAGCAAGAGAGAUCUGGCAGCUUUAAAGGUGUUUCUGGACGUGGCUUACUCCAUCCUACUCCACUGAGGCAUUUGGGAUUGCUCAGCCUGGAAAGGAGAAGGCCUCAGGGUGACCUUGUGGUACCUGAGGAGAACUUACAGGAAAGGUGGGGCAGGGCUUUUUUACAGGAGCAUUUAGCAACAGGACAAGGGGGAAUGAGUUCAAAUUGAAGGAGAGUAGGUUUGGAUUGGAUUUUAGGGGAAAAUUCAUUGCUGUGAGGGUGGUGAGGCCCUGGCACCAGAGAAGCUGUAGCUGCCCCAUCCCUGGAGGUGCUCAAAGCCAAGUCGGAUGGAGCUUGGAGAAACCUGACCUAGUGGAAGGCGUCCCAGCCCAUGGUUGGAACGAGAUGAUCUUCAUGGUUGGAACGAGGUCCCCUUC
Molecule: long non-coding RNA, 622 nt
Filed under: Cyanistes caeruleus (blue tit)
Lineage: Eukaryota; Metazoa; Chordata; Aves; Passeriformes; Paridae
Description: lncRNA (ENSCCEG00000021773.1)
Source: RNAcentral